CAUCACAACCAUCAAGCAGAAGAGAAUGAGGGACAGGAGGCACUCUGCCCAUCUGCCUGUGAGGAUCUGAAUCCUGCCCACCACCUUGUAGCUUGUGGUGAGAAGACCACGACAGCUUCUCUGCUUCUCAGGAACCUGUGCCAUGCCUAGAGGCAGAGGGCCUUCCAGCCUCAAUUCCUGAUCCACAGAACCUCAACCAGAACCCUGCCUGAUGUGCAGUGGGCAUCCGAUAGACAGUUGUGGAAUGAAUAAACAUUUGAAAUGUGCCAUCAGGGAAACCAAAGAAACCUUGGAAACGACGACAGGGUGACCAGAAAGGACUUCCCACAGAAGGAGCUCUCUGAGCUGGACUUGAAGGCCACAGGGAGAAAGAACAGCCGGUUGGUAAAUCCACAGAAGUGGAGGGCACAGAUGGUGGGAAGGGGACCCAGAAGCAAAGCGAAGAAGUCCUGAGACCACCCGCGGAGAACGGGCCUUGGGUGCCUCGUGGACCCACAGGGUUGGCCUUUGGAAGGGACCCAGCCCGGGAGCUCACGUCUGAAGCAGGGAGUUUCUUGAGGACCCUUCUCCAGGUUGAAAAGAACAAUCCAGCAGGGAGACAAAAUGGAUGAUGCAGUGGAGAGCAGAGGCACUGAACAGAUGGGCUCCAAGGAAGGCACAGGAGUCCUUAAAAGUACAAGGAAAGAAGGGGCAGAAGAGGAGGAUCAGAAGACCCGUGACUAUGGAAGGUCAGACAGGGUGCAACACACUGCUGACUUUGAAGAUGGGGAAGGGGGCCAUGGACCCAGAAUUGUGGGUGGAGGAAAUGGAUUGUCCUCCAGCUUCUAGACAGGAAUGAACACCAGCCUGCCAACACCUGAUCUGAGUCCAACAAAUCCUGUGGGGGACCCCUAACCUAUAGAACUUUUGGAUAAUAAACAUGUUCGGGCAGAGAGUA
Non-coding RNA from Ictidomys tridecemlineatus (thirteen-lined ground squirrel), 937 nucleotides. The record is from RefSeq and is a predicted model, not a curated record. Lineage: Eukaryota; Metazoa; Chordata; Mammalia; Rodentia; Sciuridae.